RNAcentral lists this ribosomal RNA (502 nucleotides) under uncultured bacterium. RNAcentral describes it as "partial 16S ribosomal RNA". It matches the Rfam family "Bacterial small subunit ribosomal RNA", at positions 30 to 523 of the family's 1533-position model. The record is from RNAcentral.
AUUGAACGCUGGCGGCAGGCUUAACACAUGCAAGUCGAGCGGAGUGAUGGUGCUUGCACUAUCACUUAGCGGCGGACGGGUGAGUAAUGCUUAAGAAUCUACCUAUUAGUGGGGGACAACAUCUCGAAAGGGAUGCUAAUACCGCAUACGUCCUACGGGAGAAAGCAGGGGAUCACUUGUGACCUUGCGCUAAUAGAUGAGCCUAAGUCGGAUUAGCUAGUUGGUGGGGUAAAGGCCUACCAAGGCGACGAUCUGUAGCGGGUCUGAGAGGAUGAUCCGCCACACUGGGACUGAGACACGGCCCAGACUCCUACGGGAGGCAGCAGUGGGGAAUAUUGGACAAUGGGGGGAACCCUGAUCCAGCCAUGCCGCGUGUGUGAAGAAGGCCUUAUGGUUGUAAAGCACUUUAAGCGAGGAGGAGGCUCUUUUGGUUAAUACCCAAGAUGAGUGGACGUUACUCGCAGAAUAAGCACCGGCAACUCUGUGCCAGCCGCCGCGGUAA